AAGAAAUUUAGGUUUCACUCUGGAGAAAAAUCUGAGAAUGGUUCUAGGAGCUUUUCACCAUUGAGUCUCUAGGUUUGCCAAACAGAAGCUAUGGGGUCCUCUUCUCUUGUACUAACAAGCUAGACCCCAAGCAGUGAAACUGCUGCUAUAGAACAAAGGAGAUCUCCAAACCCAUUCUGUUCUAAAUCCAUAAUCCUGAUGGCUGAAGGCACCGAAGCUAGAAGCAGUGUCUUGUGGCUUAAACUUCAGGCGCUUGUCCCUGGACCCAGGACGCUUCCAGCAACGCUGCCGGCUUGCCGAGGCUCAUGGCAAUCAGAUCCUCUUUCUGAAUCUGAGUUUUCUCACCUAUAAAAAAAGCAAAUGGCCCCGAGAUGGCAAAGCCAUACCAUGAAAAGCGACUGGACCUCUGAGUCACCUCUUUGAGCAGAGAGAGCCAGAAGAUCCUCUUCACUCACACUGAACAGUGGCACGUGGGUGAAAUCACACUGUGCUGAGUUUCUGGAACCUCAGGAAUCUUUGGUACAGCAAAGAUGAUACUUUGAUUAAUACGCCAAACUCCAAGCUUAGAAAAUCUGGAUGUACAGCCUGUGUUCUUAAUUGCAAUGUUAUUUUUUCUCUUCCUUCUUCCUUUUCUGAAUAAUAAUACUUCUAAGAUUGCUGAAUAAAUCCGAUAUUGAUUGAGAUAAUAUAAGUGUGGUAACUAUAAUGCGUUU
Molecule: long non-coding RNA, 713 nt
Filed under: Homo sapiens (human)
Lineage: Eukaryota; Metazoa; Chordata; Mammalia; Primates; Hominidae
Description: HSALNT0264464
Source: RNAcentral